GACCGCGCUGGACGACGAGGCGGCGACCCGGUUGUUCCUGGACCGGGCGCGGGCGGUGAAGCCGGGGUUCCACGCCGAGCGCGACCUC
This 88-nucleotide transfer RNA is filed under the name Lentzea pudingi. Its description in RNAcentral is "tRNA-Gly". The record is from RNAcentral. Lineage: Bacteria; Bacillati; Actinomycetota; Actinomycetes; Pseudonocardiales; Pseudonocardiaceae.